Molecule: non-coding RNA, 21 nt
Filed under: Rattus norvegicus (Norway rat)
Lineage: Eukaryota; Metazoa; Chordata; Mammalia; Rodentia; Muridae
Source: RNAcentral
GUCAAUUUCACCCCACGACAU